UACGUAGGGUGCGAGCGUUUAUCGGAAUUACUGGGCGUAAAGCGUGCGCAGGCGGUUGGCCGUGUCCGAUGUGAAAGCCCCGGGCUUAACCUGGGAAUGGCAUUGGAAACUGGCUGGCUGGAGUGUGGCAGAGGGGGGUGGAAUUCCACGUGUAGCAGUGAAAUGCGUAGAGAUGUGGAGGAACACCGAUGGCGAAGGCAGCCCCCUGGGCCAACACUGACGCUCAGGCACGAAAGCGUGGGGAGCAAACAGG
This 253-nucleotide ribosomal RNA is filed under the name uncultured bacterium. RNAcentral describes it as "partial 16S ribosomal RNA". It matches the Rfam family "Bacterial small subunit ribosomal RNA", at positions 524 to 776 of the family's 1533-position model. The record is from RNAcentral.